This is a non-coding RNA of Brachypodium distachyon (stiff brome), 127 nucleotides long. The record is from Rfam. NCBI's taxonomy places the organism in Eukaryota, Viridiplantae, Streptophyta, Magnoliopsida, Poales, Poaceae.
AUUGUACUCCCUCCGUCUCGUAUUAAGUGACUCAAAUUUGUCCAAAUAUGGAUGUAUAUAUAUGCCUAAAAGGCAUCUAGAUACAUGUAAUAGAAAGUCACUUAUUAUGAGACGGAGGGAGUAUGUA